GAUGAACGCUAGCGGCAGGCUUAACACAUGCAAGUCGAGCGGGGUUGAAGCGAGGGGUAACUCGAACUUCUACCUAGCGGCGGACGGGUGAGUAACGCGUGGGCAACCUGCCUCAAGGUCUGGGAUAACAGCUCGAAAGGGCUGCUAAUACCGGAUAUGCCUAUAGCCUCGCAUGGGGCUAUGAGCAAAGGGGAAACCCGCCUUGAGAUGGGCCCGCGUCCCAUCAGCUAGUUGGUGAGGUGAAGGCUCACCAAGGCGACGACGGGUAGCCGGCCUGAGAGGGUGACCGGCCACACUGGGACUGAGACACGGCCCAGACUCCUACGGGGGGCAGCAGUGGGGAAUCUUGCACAAUGGGCGAAAGCCUGAUGCAGCGACGCCGCGUGAGCGAAGAAGGCCUUCGGGUUGUAAAGCUCUGUCUGGUAGGGACGGAAGAAAGUGACGGUACCUCCGGGAGGAAGCCGACGGCUAACUACGUGCCAGCAGCCGCGGUAAACGUAGUCU
RNAcentral lists this ribosomal RNA (504 nucleotides) under uncultured bacterium. RNAcentral's name for it is "bacterial SSU rRNA". It matches the Rfam family "Bacterial small subunit ribosomal RNA", at positions 28 to 533 of the family's 1533-position model. The record is from RNAcentral.